UGUACUUGUGUGUGUGUGUGCAUUCAUGCCUGCUGCUGGAUAUGUAGUUACAGUUCCCAGGCUUUAGGUACCUGCUGGACUAGGAAGAACCCAAACUUGUCUGCCCCUGCUCUUGACUAACAGGUGACUUGGACAUGGUUUCUCUGUGUGGCCCUGGCUGUCCUGGAACUCACUCUGCAGACCACGCUGGCCUCAACUCACAAGAUCCAUCUGCCUCUGCCUCCCGAAUGCUUGGAUUAAUGGUGUGCACCACCAUCAUCACCACACCCUGCUGGAUUAUUGUGUCCAUUAUGUACAACCAAAUUUCUGUUUCCUUUAAUGUGAAUACCACCCUGUCCCUGGUAAUUGUGAAGAAGGUGGGAACCAUACAGAUCAGAGCUUUAGUUACUGGCUCCCUGUCAACACCCCUCUCAUGGCCACAAUUCUUUCCUUGUUAUCAUGCAGCUACCAUUUCUUGUUAGUGAAAAAAUACUUAAGCUCUGUUCAUUGAUAAAAUGUAUGCCCUUCUGAUCUCAAUAACAUACCCAACAAGUCACCUUGAUUGUAGACUUGGAGAAUGAACUGUUUGAUUUGUAUCAGUAUAAUUAAUUGCUAUUUAAGCAUGACUGCAGAGUUGAGAAUUUUACCCAAUACAUUCAGACAAUAUGUUCCUAGUGCCCAAACUUGGCAUUAAAGAUACAAUGGUAAACAAACACAUAGUGUCCUGCGCUUGUGGGCUUCUUUAAUUAAAAGGAAAGGCAAAUGUGGAGGAGGAAAUGCCAUUUCAGAUGAAACUGGCUAUAGUACGAUUAAGUGUGUGCUUUAGUGAGGCCUAGGAGUAUGCAGAGAGAGGAUGGUCAGGUAGAUGAAGAUGUGUGAGCCCUGAUAGUAUGCAGAGAGGGGAUCGUCAGAUAAAUAGAGAUGUGUGAU
This 909-nucleotide long non-coding RNA is filed under the name Cricetulus griseus (Chinese hamster). Its description in RNAcentral is "lncRNA (ENSCGRG00015034770.1)". Lineage: Eukaryota; Metazoa; Chordata; Mammalia; Rodentia; Cricetidae. The record is from RNAcentral.